RNAcentral lists this long non-coding RNA (1315 nucleotides) under Sus scrofa (pig). RNAcentral's name for it is "lncRNA (ENSSSCG00055018207.1)". Lineage: Eukaryota; Metazoa; Chordata; Mammalia; Artiodactyla; Suidae. The record is from RNAcentral.
GCUGGAUCCGAGCCGCGUCUGCAACCUACCCCACAGCUCACGGCAACGCCGGAUCGUUAACCCACUGAACAAGGCCAGGGAUUGAACCCCCAACUUCAUGGUUCCUAGUCGGAUUCGUUAACCACUGCGCCACGACAGGAACUCCCUAUUUUAUCCAUUUUUGAAACUACAUGGUUAGUUGUGUAAAAGUUCAUGGCUGGUAUAGCUUCUUGGUGGACCACAUAUUUUAUCAAUAUGAAAUAUCCAUUUUUAUCCCUCAUGAUAUCUUUAAACUGUAUUAAUAUUUGCCAUUCCAACCUAAUUAGUUAUUGAACUAAUAUACAAAGUGCUUAGUCUCAUGCCUGAGCAAUAGAAAACAGACAAUAAAUGGUAGUUUCUGCUAUUAUCAUUCUCAUUAGCCUGUGUCCUUCUUGUGAAGGUUCUGGACUCUUUGGGGGACAAAGAGGAAAAGAAAGAACUGAAGGAAAAGAAAGAGCAAUUGCCUCUUAGGCACUGCAUAGUGACACUUAGAGCUUCUUCUCCCCUGAACAAGGUGAUGGAAACUCCAGGGAAGAGAGGCCUCAGGCUUGGACAAAUCACCAGAAAGCCUGCCAAAAGAGGUCUCCUAAGCAGCCAAGAGAAUACAACAGAAACAGAUUUUCUUUUUGGAUUCUGGCCUUUCUGCUUUUGAGGCCCCACUGAAACUAGGAAGGGAAAAAAGCAAAACAAGGUCAGACCAGUAGUAGAUGUGUUUCCAUAUUUGGAAAGUUACAGUGAUCUCUUCAGAAGAGCUCCUUGGAUUUCAGCUCUUCUAGGCCUUUAAAAGCAAUGCCCAUGGCAGUGAUGAUUUUUCACCCCCAGUGCAAUUCUCAGCUCUGCCGAACUUGGAUGUGUUUAAGGAUGUGGUCUCACUGCCUCACUCCUCAUCCCUGUAUCCUUCAGAUGGGAAUGCAGAAACAUGCAGUUCAAUUGCUACAGGACCACGAGGCAAGCAAGCUUCAGGAUGGAUCUGACAGAAGACGGUAAGUCAGAGAAGUAGAAACAAUCUGAGUCUUUCAGAAUCUCAGUGACUUGCUGGAGCAAUGACCUUAGAUCUUGCCUUACAUUUGGACUGGUAGUUAAAUGAGUCAAUAUGCUCCCUUAGAGACCAGCUUAGAGGAAAUUCUAUUACCUAUCAAGAGCUAAAAAAUUUCUGCAGUAGGGACAAGGAGGGGAUGAACCUCAUGGAUGAGAGUAAAUUCAGUUCACUUCUGUAUAGACUCUGCUGGUCUUUCUGGUACAUUUAAACACAUCUUUCUUCAAUAAACAUACAGUAUGAAGAAUCUAGAAAAAUAUA